CGCCCGGGAAUUACGAGUAAACUUAAAACCCAAAGGACUUGACGGUGUCCCAUUCCCCCUAGAGGAGCCUGUUCUUUAAUCGAUAACCCCCGCUUUACCUCACCACUUCUUGCUCAUUCAGCCUGUAUACCUCCGUCGUAAGCUUGCCCUGUGAACGUCUAUCGAGCAAGCCCAAGGGCCUCACNCACCAACACGUCAGGUCAAGGUGCAGUCCAUGAAGUGGGAAGCAAUGGGCUACAAUUUCUAAACUAGAACAAACGAAAUACUACAUGAAACAUAGUCAUGAAGGUGGAUUUAGCAGU
RNAcentral lists this ribosomal RNA (302 nucleotides) under Indirana cf. diplosticta 91. Its description in RNAcentral is "partial 12S ribosomal RNA". It matches the Rfam family "Bacterial small subunit ribosomal RNA", at positions 870 to 1339 of the family's 1533-position model. RNAcentral also lists the same sequence under 2 other names. The record is from RNAcentral. Lineage: Eukaryota; Metazoa; Chordata; Amphibia; Anura; Ranixalidae.